This 31-nucleotide non-coding RNA is filed under the name unclassified sequences. The record is from RNAcentral.
CUAUGAAAUGGAAUUUUCAUGGCAAAAGGAG